CUAUUAUANUAAUUAAUUCAGGGUAAUAACAUNUGAGAAACCCAAAAAUUUUGGCGGUGAUCAAUCUAAUCAGAGGAAUUUGUCUUUUAAUUGAUAGUCCUCAUUAUAACUAACUUAUAUUAAAGCUUGUAUAUCGUCGUUUAUAGUAAAUUUUAAUAAAAUAUUUUCAAAAUUUUAUGAAUAAAAGAAAGUCAGAUCAAGGUGUAGUUGAUAUAUAAGGUAAGAUGAAUUACAAUAUACAUAUAUAAACGGAAAAUAUUUGUAAAAAUGUGAGAAGGUGGAUUUGAGGGUAAUUUUAUAUAAAUAAUAUAGAAAAAUAUAAUGAUAUGAGCUCUAGAUCAUGUACACAUCGCCCGUCG
This 359-nucleotide ribosomal RNA is filed under the name Leptohyphes zalope. RNAcentral's name for it is "partial 12S ribosomal RNA". The record is from RNAcentral. Lineage: Eukaryota; Metazoa; Arthropoda; Insecta; Ephemeroptera; Leptohyphidae.